UACGUAGGUGGCAAGCGUUGUCCGGAUUUACUGGGUGUAAAGGGCGUGUAGCCGGGCUGACAAGUCAGAUGUGAAAUCCCGUGGCUCAACCACGGAACUGCAUUUGAAACUGUCGGUCUUGAGUAUCGGAGAGGCAGGCGGAAUUCCUGGUGUAGCGGUGAAAUGCGUAGAUAUCAGGAGGAACACCGGUGGCGAAGGCGGCCUGCUGGACUGCAACAGACGUUGAGGCCCGAAAGCGUGGGGAGCAAACAGG
This 253-nucleotide ribosomal RNA is filed under the name uncultured bacterium. Its description in RNAcentral is "partial 16S ribosomal RNA". It matches the Rfam family "Bacterial small subunit ribosomal RNA", at positions 524 to 776 of the family's 1533-position model. The record is from RNAcentral.